GCCCUUGCUCAGUAACACGUGGACAACGUACCCUAAAGUGGAGCAUAAUCUCGGGAAACUGAGGAUAAUUCUCCAUAGACCAUGAGAUCUGGAAUGACUUAUGGUUCAAAGUUCCGGCGCUUUAGGAUCGGUCUGCGGCCUAUCAGGUAGUAGUGGGUGUAACGUACCCCCUAGCCAAUUACGGGUAUGGGCCUUGAGAGAGGGAGCCCAGAGUUGGAUUCUGAGACACGAAUCCAGGCCCUACGGGGCGCAGCAGUCGCGAAAACUUCACAAUGGGCGAAAGCCCGAUGAGGGAAUUCCUAGUGCUAGCACAUUUGUGCUAGCUUUUCCUUAGCGUAGAUAACUAGGGGAAUAAGGGCUGGGUAAGACGGGUGCCAGCCGCCGCGGUAAUACCCGCAGCCCGAGUGGUGGUCGAUUUUAUUGAGUCUAAAACGUUCGUAGCCGGUCUGAUAAAUCCCUGGGUAAAUCGGGUGGCUUAACCAUCCGAAUUCCGGGGAGACUGUCAGGCUUGGGAUCGGGAGAGGUAUGAGGUACUUCAGGGGUAGGGGUAAAAUCCUGUAAUCCUUGGAGGACCACCGGUGGCGAAGGCGUCAUACUAGAACGAAUCCGACGGUGAGGGACGAAGCCCUAGGUCGCAAACGGGAUUAGAUACCCCGGUAGUCUAGGGUGUAAACGCUGCAGACUAGGUGUUGGAGGCCCUACGGGGGCACCCAGUGCCCGAGAGAAGUUGUUAAGUCUGCUACUUGGGGAGUACGUCCGCAAGGAUGAAACUUAAAGGAAUUGGCGGGGGAGCACAAGGGC
Molecule: ribosomal RNA, 801 nt
Filed under: uncultured Thermoplasma sp.
Lineage: Archaea; Methanobacteriati; Thermoplasmatota; Thermoplasmata; Thermoplasmatales; Thermoplasmataceae
Description: bacterial SSU rRNA
Rfam family: Archaeal small subunit ribosomal RNA
Source: RNAcentral